Molecule: ribosomal RNA, 446 nt
Filed under: uncultured bacterium
Lineage: Bacteria
Description: bacterial SSU rRNA
Rfam family: Bacterial small subunit ribosomal RNA
Source: RNAcentral
CCCAGACUCCUACGGGAGGCAGCAGUGGGGAAUAUUGCACAAUGGGGGAAACCCUGAUGCAGCGACGCCGCGUGAGUGAAGAAGUAUUUCGGUAUGUAAAGCUCUAUCAGCAGGGAAGAAAAUGACGGUACCUGAUUAAGAAGCCCCGGCUAACUACGUGCCAGCAGCCGCGGUAAUACGUAGGGGGCAAGCGUUAUCCGGAUUUACUGGGUGUAAAGGGAGCGUAGACGGUGAUGCAAGUCAGAAGUGAAAGCCCGGGGCUCAACUCCGGGACUGCUUUUGAAACUGUGUGACUGGAGUGCAGGAGAGGUAAGCGGAAUUCCUGGUGUAGCGGUGAAAUGCGUAGAUAUUAGGAGGAACACCAGUGGCGAAGGCGGCCUGCUGGACAGAAACUGACGUUGAGGCUCGAAAGCGUGGGGAGCAAACAGGAUUAGAUACCCGAGUAC